This 1006-nucleotide ribosomal RNA is filed under the name Epeus alboguttatus. RNAcentral's name for it is "16S ribosomal RNA". The record is from RNAcentral. Lineage: Eukaryota; Metazoa; Arthropoda; Arachnida; Araneae; Salticidae.
AAAUUUUUAAUAAAAAUAUAUUAUAUCAUCAUUAACUAAUAUUAUAUUAAAUACUGUUAAGUAAUAUAUUAUUAUUUAAUAGAAUAUUAUUAUCCUUUAGUAUCAGGAAAAUUUAAUUAUAUAAUUAAAUUUUUUCCCGAAAUUAUAUGAUCUAUUUUAUAUUCUAUUAAAUAUUUCAAUAUUUAAAUAAAAUUAUUAAUAGUAAUUAAACGUUAUCGAAUAUAAUAAUAUCUGGUUUUCUAAAAAGAAAUAAUAUUAAUAUAUAAUAUAUAUUAUAACAUAUACAUUUUAUAUUACAUAAUUUUUUAUUAAAUAAAUAUUAAUAGUAUUUAUAUAGUUUAAUAACUAUAAAUUCAACAUUUUCAUAUUAUAUUAUUAGAACAUUUUAAUAAAUAUUUUAAUAAUAAAUUUAUAAUUAGAUAUAUAAAUAAAUUUUCUAAACUUGUCCAUAAAUAAAUGACUGUUUAACAUAAACAUUUCUAUUAGUAAUAAUUAAUAGUAAAAUCUGCUCAAUGAUAAUUUCAAUAGCCGCAAUUUUGUGCUAAGGUAGCAUAAUCAUUUGUUUCUUAAAUAGGGACUAGAAUAAAAGAUUUAACAUUUUAGUUUAUUUUUCUAUUUUAAUCUAUUUAAUUUUCCUUAAAUGUAAUAAGGCAUUUAUUCUAAAAUAAGACGAUAAGACCCUAUUGAACUUUACUUAAGUUAAACUGGGGCAGUUAAUUAAUUAUUAUUUUAAUAUUAUUAUUAAUAUAAUAAUCUAAUACUAUUAAAUUAACCAGUUACCAUAGGGAUAACAGCGUAAUAUUAUUAUAAAGAUCUUAUUCAUAAUAAAGAUUACGACCUCGAUGUUGAAUUAAUAACCUAAUUAGGGCAAGACUUAAAUAAGGAAGGUCUGUUCGACCUAUAAAAAAUUACAUGAUUUGAGUUCAGACCGGUAUAAGCCAGGUCGGUUUCUAUCUAUUAAAAAUAAUUUUUGUAGUACGAAAGGGCCUAAAAAUUUAAUAUAAUU